UCUAACUCUGCUUUCUUUACCAGGUAGCAUUUGUCUCCACGGUUGGAAGACUGCUGCUGCAGCACAGACUGGUGUCUCUAUUAAUAGAUAUCUCAGUUGCACUACAGACAGGAAGAAGGGCAAAGGGGAAGAACACGAUGGCUUUUAGCAGCCUGACGCCUUGGUUUUUAGUUUCUGUCUCUAGUGACAGGUGGAAAAGAAGGAUGAGGAAGGGGCUUUACUGGCCCAACCAGAAAUAGUAACUAAGAACCCAUGACUGUAUUCUCUCCCUUGGACACCCCUGGGAAGCUCUGUACUGAAAAAAAAUGAAAGCCUUCCAGAUGUGUUCUGCUAUGGUCCACAGGCUGGAGGGUGCAUGGAACCCACCCAGAGGUGCUCUGCAAUCAGCAAUUCAGUGAGCCAUUCACAGUCCAACCAGUUGCCUUCUGAUGAGAAUGCAUCACACCGCAUGUGGGGAGGGCCAUGUGGGAAUUCUCACACCUGUUGCCUAGAUGCCUGUGUCUGGUUAGAACCACUGCAUGCUUUCUUUCAGUCUACAUUGAAUACGUCUUUGCUGCUCUGGGAUCCAUCCUCCAGUCUUCAGUCAGCUAAGAAAAUGACCUGUGGGCACGUUGGCUUCCUUUCUUCGGAUUAAGUGGUUGUUCAGAGAGAGGCUGAGUCUGAUUGUUUACACAAGAAGGAAGUGAACACUGGCUGUGUGCCUGGCACUGUUAGGAGCCAUCAAACCAUGUCCAGAAAGGACGCAGGGAAAGGAGAUGUCGAUGUUUCCAGACAUUUUGUGAUGUGAAGAGAGCGCCUGAAGGUUUUUGAUGAUGCUUAACUCACGUGCUUUGCUUAAAGAACUGCAGGGACUGACCUGAAACGCUAAGCAUGGAAUCCAGGUUGCAGAACAUCCCACUCUGGAAAGAAGG
This 911-nucleotide long non-coding RNA is filed under the name Homo sapiens (human). RNAcentral describes it as "HSALNT0331956". Lineage: Eukaryota; Metazoa; Chordata; Mammalia; Primates; Hominidae. The record is from RNAcentral.